CAGUAGCCACGGGAAUACGUAGGGUGCAAGCGUUAAUCGGAAUUACUGGGCGUAAAGCGUGCGCAGGCGGUUUGUUAAGACAGAUGUGAAAUCCCCGGGCUUAACCUGGGAACUGCAUUUGUGACUGGCAAGCUAGAGUCUGGCAGAGGGGGGUGGAGUUCCGCGUGUAGCAGUGAAAUGCGUAGAUAUGCGGAGGAACACCGAUGGCGAAGGCAGCCCCCUGGGCCAACACUGACGCUCAUGCACGAAAGCGUGGGGAGCAAACAGGAUUAGAUACCCGCGUAGUCCCUGUCUCUUAUAC
This 301-nucleotide ribosomal RNA is filed under the name uncultured bacterium. RNAcentral's name for it is "partial 16S ribosomal RNA". It matches the Rfam family "Bacterial small subunit ribosomal RNA", at positions 509 to 807 of the family's 1533-position model. The record is from RNAcentral.